This 72-nucleotide transfer RNA is filed under the name Sus scrofa (pig). It matches the Rfam family "tRNA". From Rfam's summary of the family: Transfer RNA (tRNA) molecules are approximately 80 nucleotides in length. Their secondary structure includes four short double-helical elements and three loops (D, anti-codon, and T loops). Lineage: Eukaryota; Metazoa; Chordata; Mammalia; Artiodactyla; Suidae. The record is from Rfam by way of RNAcentral.
UCCUUGGUGGUCUAGUGGUUAGGACUCAGCACUUUCACUGCUAUAGCUCAGGUUCAAUCCCUGGUCUGGGAA